RNAcentral lists this ribosomal RNA (460 nucleotides) under uncultured bacterium. RNAcentral's name for it is "partial 16S ribosomal RNA". It matches the Rfam family "Bacterial small subunit ribosomal RNA", at positions 338 to 795 of the family's 1533-position model. The record is from RNAcentral.
CCUACGGGAGUCAGCAGUGAGGAAUAUUGGUCAAUGGACGAAAGUCUGAACCAGCCAAGUAGCGUGAAGGAUGACUGCCCUAUGGGUUGUAAACUUCUUUUAUAUGGGAAUAAAAUGUUCCACGUGUGGGAUUUUGUAUGUACCAUAUGAAUAAGGAUCGGCUAACUCCGUGCCAGCAGCCGCGGUAAUACGGAGGGUCCGAGCGUUAUCCGGAUUUAUUGGGUUUAAAGGGAGCGUAGGUCGAAUGUUAAGUCAGUUGUGAAAGUUUGGGGCUCAACCGUAGAAUUGCAGUUGAAACUGGCAGGCUUGAGUACACGAGAGGUGGGCGGAAGUCGUGGUGUAGCGGUGAAAUGCUUAGAUAUCACGAAGAACUCCGAUUGCGAAGGCAGUUUACUGGACCGCAACUGACGCUGAGGCUCGAAAGCGUGGGUAUCAAACAGGAUUAGAUACCCCUGUAGUC